Long non-coding RNA from Siniperca chuatsi (mandarin fish), 13369 nucleotides. RefSeq lists it as uncharacterized. The transcript has 4 exons. The record is from RefSeq and is a predicted model, not a curated record. NCBI's taxonomy places the organism in Eukaryota, Metazoa, Chordata, Actinopteri, Centrarchiformes, Sinipercidae.
CCUGCCCUCAGGAGGGAAUCUGCCUGAGUAUCUGUUAAUAGCUAGUUUCACCUGAAACUAGGUACGACUGAAACCUUUUCUACGAUAGAACACUCCUGGACGAAUGAGGGACUACACCGUCUAGUAAGGUUAAGCAACCACGCCAGCUUGCUCUAACUGGGGCUCCUGGCACCGGGAUGCCAUCGCAGCCCAGCCGUGCUCUUCCAACAACCACAGCAGCUGGCUUCAGUAGGGGCCUUCAGCACUGGGAUGCCAGUAUCUUCCAUAUCCCAGCUUCACUAGUCCAAGAAGCUCAUGUCAGCUUGAGCAGUCAGUGCCCCUCCCCCUCCCGCCUACUUCCAACAGCCACAGCAGUUCACUCUAGCAGGGGAACCUGGCACCGGGAUGCCAGUGCCUCCUGCCGCCAUACGUCCAGCAAUCACAGCGGCCAUCGUUAGCAGGGGAACCUGGCACUGGGAUCGCUACCUGCUGCCUACUACAAGCAACUGCAGCAGCUUGCCUCAGCUGGGGCUCCUGGCACCACCACCAGCAGUCCACUUCCAGCAGUCGAGGCAUUCGACGAUGGGGUGCCAGAGCCCCCUGCCGCCCACUUCCAGCAACUGCUGCAACCUGCUCCAGACAGGGCUUAUGGCACCAGGAUGCCAGGAUCUUCCAUCUCCCAGUCCCUGCAGCUCUCAUCCACUGUAGUCUUCCGCACCAGGAUGCCGGUGCCCAGCUUUCCUCCACAGCCCUUGCAGCACCAUGAUCCUUCCAUACUUAACUCUGGUCUUUCCUCUCACCCUUUUCCAGCCCAGCAGGCAACUAUCAACUUCACCCCGUUUAUAGCCAGUCCUCCCAUUUGUCAUCCUAACCUUUAUCUCCUAUCCUUCUCCAGUUCCCACCAGUCUAUGUCAACAGAUCAUAGACAUACACAGAUUUUGCUCUCCUCAUCAUGCCUUCCCUUCAUCAACCACCUACUGACAGAUUCCUUGAAGGACACAAAGGGCAACUCUACUUGAAAUGGAGAACACCAACAGACUUUGCUCAUGCUUUCUAUCUCUUCAGAGAUGUGGUUUACAAUUUCCCACCUACCAGCAGGAAAUGGACAAUUAUUUGGUCAUCAUACUUAAUCUGGCCCUCCAUUUUGGAGGUAAUGGUUUCUACCAUAUCACAUCCACUCUGCUUUCAAAGCCGCAGCCCGUCUUCAGCAGGCCAAUGAGAACAGGCCAGGGCACACUUGACAAUUAAAUUACUGCCGCAUCCUCGCUACCCAUGCAGCCCUACCAUGCUCUACAUGUGGUGCCCCUUCUCACCCAGCCUCUUCCCGAUCUGUUGCCACCCACACUAAGCCAAUUUCCUCCUCGACUGAUGCUGCACCAAAUGCCAACUUCUCUACCCCCUAGGUCACCUCAUCUUUGCCUAUGUAUCAUUCUUCAAGGGCGAACCUUAUCUCUGACUUACUAUCAUUUGCUUUCCAUUGUCAGUGAAUAAACUAACUAUUCCAUCUCCCUGGACGUUCCAAGCCAUGCCAAACUCUGUGUUUGCUUCAAACUUUUCGCCAAAUGGAACGGGAUAACCUUAUUCUAUGACUUACAACUGACUCACCCACAUGACAUCCAUCUGUACGCUGACCCUGCUUCUUCUGUCGGGGUUGGGGGUUUCUACAAUGGAAGAUGGGUUGCAGAAGAAUAGCUCGCAAGUUAAUGCCAGGUCGCUUCCUCCGCUCUCUUCGAAAUCUACCCCAUAAUUACCGCAGCUAUUCCGUGGGUCCACGAACGGUCGUGCAAAGCCCAUUCUCUUACUUCGACAACCUCGCAGAUGUAGACAUAAUCAGCAAGUUCGCUCCAAUGCCCAAUCUAUCAUACAGUCCAUGCAUUCCUAACAUGGCACUCCGUUAACACACCUAUAUUUUCUCUGCGCAGCCCAUGUUCACGAUUCCAGUGCCAUCGCUGACUCCUGUUGCCCAUUUCAGAAGUUCAGAGGCUCGGACCCUCCGGUGGAUAUCUUCAACAGCUUAUCACCAUCUCAUCUUACUUGAAAGCUUAGAAGAGUUUCUGUUACCUUCACAACAGUAUAACAUAACAACCCGUUCAUCAAUUUCGUAACCAUGACCCGUUUUGUUACUCAAGCCCUUUUCGUGAUGGACAUCAAAACAUGUAUUAUCAAAGUUUACCCUAGCAGCUUUAGCAUCUCUAAAUCCUAACUGGCAGCCCGGGUCUGGCCUCCAGCCAUCCUCUGAUAACUUAACUUCUCAGAGGACUUAUUUGUCAAGAGCCAGCUCAAGUCCUUGCCACCUUCCUCUUACCACUGACUUGCUGUCAGUCUGCAUCCACACCAUCUACUCUGGAUACAGCCUCCCCAGUGUUGCUCAAACUGUAAAAGCCAUGUUCUCGCUUGCUUUCGGUUUCCUCAGACGCUCUGGAUUCACUGCCUCUACCUUUCGCUUCGACCCACGCUGUCAAGCCUGCAUUUCCAACUCUAAUUUCUCAAUCAAAACCAUGGUAUUUACUUAAACCGAACCAAAACCUACCAAUCUGGUCAGUUUACACCUGACUUUUAGUUCAAAGUUCAAUCACAGCUGAAUACUUUCGAGACCCUUGCAAUUCCAGAAAUCCCAGCAUAGCCAUGACAGAUUAUCUCUGAGUUCGGAAAAGUGAUUCUGGUUCCGCCAGCACUUUCACCACAUACUCCACCACAUCCUUGUCCGGCAUUUCUCCCAUCCAAUACUCGGAUGUUCACUCUUUCAGAAUCAUAGCUGCCACCUCGGCUUCCGCAACGGCAUCCCCAAGGACUUGGACAAAUCAUAGACUGUUGGUCCUCUAAAGCAUAUCGCUACUCGAUUCGUUAAGAUCUCAAAGAUCUAAGACCCACUCAAUCUUGUAUCAAGUAACUGGAGGCUUUUGGGUGUCCGGUGUGCCCAGGUGCAACGGCGGAUUCCCCAUGAAGCUUCCCCACACAAAGUAAUAGACAGAAGUACAAAAGUUCAAGCUUCACUCAUAAUCUUUCGUUUUCGUCAAUAAAUCACUUAAGCACAUCUGUUGAUGGUGUGGUCCUUGCUAGUGAAAUGCAAAUAUAUUUCUGUAGCAACUGUAGGACAAAGUACCAGGAAAUAACUUAAUCAAACAAGAGGGGCUCAUUGUAGACCUUCUCUCAGGGAGGGACAGGAACGAUCACUCUGAUGGUUUUGUAUAAAGUUUUUUUUUUUUUUUUUCAGGUAUAUCCCAAUACAAUAUUCACAUGCCAUAAGUACAUUAAGAGAGUUAUUGGUCUAUGUAAUCAUUCCUCCUGUCUUUACUAGCUGUGAAGCGAUCUUUUCCUAGUGCGACUACUCUAAAAAAUGGGAGACAAAAUUCACAGCCCUUGUUCUGUGCAAAAAACAUUUUUUAAGUUAAGUCAAUCAACUAAUAACUCCCUCAAUGUACUUUAUGGCAUGUGAGUAAUGUAUUGAAAUAGACUCAAUAGAUCUGAACCUAUCCUUUUAAGGUAGUAUUUAGGCACACAGUUACACUGUUGAAUUCUGUUUCUGUGACAUGCUACUGAUGCAGUUAUUUGUGGGCAUCUGGAUUUUUAGAUACAACAGGAAUCCCCCAAAUCUACACAGGUUGAGGUUUUAUCCAUUAGUACAUUAUAAUAUAGGUGCUGGGUUAAACCACACUUCAGUAAGCUGACCUGUAUGCUCUAUCUGUGGCUUCAUUAAUUACAGUUAGCAAGACAGUUUUAGCCCUGCAGGGCUUUUAUCGCAUCCAGUAGGGUUGUCUCACUAAUUGGAAUUAAUAAAGGUGUGAUGUGAGUGUAAAGUGUGGCCUCUACAGUACUAUUAAGAACUAUAUAUCCAAUAUCACUCAUGCAUAAUUCAUAUGACAGAAACAUUAGUAGUAGUAGUACAAAAAAUAUUGUAAAACAGAACUACUUUCAUGCUUUACAAUUUUACAAUUUAUAUGUUUUAGCAUGACUAUUUUUUAAAUGGUUUUGUUGUUGCAAAUGAUCAGGUGGAAGCAAAUAAAAAGGCCACUGCUGACUAUAUUCACAACUACCCAUUCCAUCAAGCUCCAAGUGUGCAGGGCAGCCCACCUUGGCAGGUUUCAUCACCAACAAUAACAAUGAGUCAGUCAACAAUACAUCACUAUUAAGGUCCCACAGAAGAUGUACGCUCUGUCACAGCCUAGGAAGCCUGACAUCUCACAACCAAUCUUCGUCCAAUUUCCACAAUCACACGCCAUCACUGUCAGGGUUUCCUUCACCUCCUGUUCCGGUGAAAAGCCUAAGUGUUUUUGCCUACACUGCUGAGUGGUAGCUGCCAAAUUUCCUCCUCCUUCAAAAAAAACAAAACAACAACAACAAAAAAACAUGACACAAGGGCAAAGAAAAGGGCAGGAAAGAUUGUCACUGACCUUUCCCACUCAGGUACACAUCUGUUUCAGAUGUAUUCUUCUGUGUGGCAGUCAGUCCAUUAAACAGCACACACUCUUCCUAGGCACAGUCACCCACUUCCCAUCCCCCAGGGACACUAAUACCACCCAUGAUUUAUUAUAUUCACAGACAGACAAUAUAGCAGACAAUCAAACAGUCUUACAUGUCUUUGUGGCUCCCAUCUUUAUAUAUAAGAAGUAUGUGUAUUUCGCCUGAGAGAACAGAAAAUUUAUCCCAUGACCUUGAAAAAUAGCCUUUGUGGAAAUGAAUAGGACAUAAAUUAAUGUGUACAUUGCCAGAAUACACAAACAUGGUUUUACUUUGUGCAGAAAACAUUUAGAUGAAUGAAAAAAUGUAAAAAUGUAGAAGUCAGUUAAAGAAAUAAUAUUUUUAACUCCAUGAUGUCCUCUCCUUGUUGAGUCCCACAGUAGCUUCAAAGUCAUCAAUCUUUCUCAAGAAUCCACUGCUGAUAAUAUUCAUGUUUUAAUAUUAGUGGCUGCUGCAAUGUGCCAUGGGAAGACAUUUUCCAAUAAAAUGUAUAUGGCACAAACAGAGGAUGUAAAUAUACAUGUAUAUACAGUAUAUGGCUCUAAGACAUACAGUUUUUCUGCUCUGCUACCAUGGCCUGAUCCCCCAGAGGAGAACUGACAGCUAUCUGCGCUUGAUGUAUGUGUUUUUUUCACUGUCCUAAUGAGUGGAUUUCUCUUGGUGAUGUCUAACACAAGGCCUGGAGGAGGGGAUGGACUCCAGGUCUUGCGUUAAUAUUCUCAAUCCCCCUCCCCCAGUCACACUGCUUCAUGUUCAUUGAACAGUCAGUUGCAUGCUCCUUACUUGAUUCUGUCUCAUUUUGAAAGGAUGUGGAACCAUCAGACAGUUACAGAUGUAGCACGAGAUGUUAUAUAUAUUGCUUAAGUGCACAGAGUUUAUGGUAGCCUAUUUUUUCAGGAUGUCUAUACCAGAUCCAUUUAUUUCUUCCCUAAAUGUUGCUCCAUUAGCUGUAAAAUUCACUGCUUGUCCUCAUGAUGCUACAGAUUUGACUCACAAUGAAUUAAGUGGUUUGUCAGCCAAUGUAAAGCCAAUGUAGCUGAACAUUUGGGCAUUUUUUUAAAGAGUAACCUAAUGCACUUAUUUUUUUAAACAAGGAAGAGCACUCUUCUCCACAGUUCAUUCAUAAAUCCAGCUACUUUUAGAGUAUUUCUGUGUGGCUCAAAUCAUGACAUAUUUUUAUGUGACAGAGAGCAAGUUUUUGUGUGUGUGUUUCUAUGUUGGGUCUACAUGUGGGUGUGCACACACAAGCAGUACUUGCCCAAAGGUGCAUGUGUAAAUGUAGUUGAUCCCAUGCAAACAUGAGUGAGAUAGAGAGAGGAUGAAUCCGUACAUGCUUGCAAUUGAAUAUCCUGUGAGUGGGUGGACUCCGCCAUUGACCACCUAUUGUACAGCACUUCUUGAUGUGGAGGAAGGUAGCCAUUGAUUUGAUCUGUCUGUCCAUGUGUGCUUGUGUGUGGGGGCAGCAACACUAUCUAAUUCUACCAGUGAGGGUUGAUGCAUGAUGUUUAGAAGAGAUAGUAUAGCAGGGCGGUGAAAACUUCAUGUCUGCCUUGACAGUCUGUCUAAAUGAUAACAGGGCCCUGCCAGCACAGACAAAACCAACCUGGCAGGUUGGAUGUUAUUAAAGUGGUGUCUAAGACAUAUCCUCAUUGUGCCUACCCACCAAUGUAUACUCCCUGUGGACUCAAAUGAAGAAGACCAUCCCAUGCUGUGUGCGGAGAUAAGUGCAGAAACUCAAUGGAGAAUGUACUAUACUCGCACAACUGACCAACCUGGUGCAUCUGCUUUAUAAAUACAGCACAUGUUUGAGGUUGCACAAAACCACAGGUACAGGACAUCUGUGUCUGACCUGUCAAGAGAACAGGCUGUACUGUGUUUGUUGGGACCCUGGUGAGUCACAAAACAUGGGAGGUCCCUUUGAGUGAAGAAGUGGAGUUAUGUCAAGCAGCCAUGGUUUCAGAAGCUAAAGUCGCAAUAACUUGUCCAGUAGAGAAAAUAAAUAACUGGCUGUUCAAGCAUUUCCAUUUAUUACAUUUCUCCUGGAUGAAUUAUCAACAUACAAUGACUCAAACGAUUCUGAGAAAAGUCAACGACUGGGGCAGAUCAAGAGUGUUACUGUUGUGAUGGGUGACUCAUGAACAGACAAGGCAGCAGCACAAAGACAUGUUUUGAAAUCAGGGGUCCAGCAGACAGACUACUUAUUUUGGCAUCUUGACAGGGAGGUCCUGUGCACCAAUUCGGAUAACAUUACACCUGAACCAUCUGAGCUGUAGACCAUGGUUCACUGUUGCCAGUCACAUAGGCAAUCAAAUCAAAAACUAUUCACUGAAACAAUAAGCUUAGUAUUAUUGCUAUUUGGGGUAGGUGUGGCUCAGGAGGAGGAGCGAGUUGUCCACUGAUCACAGGGUUGGUGGUUCGAUCCCCACCUCCUCCUGUCCACAUGUGGAAGUAUCCUAGGCAAGACACUGAACCACAAAUUGCUCCAGCACCCUGGUUUGCUAGCACCCUGCAUGGUAGCUCGCUGCCAUCAGUGUGUGAGUGGCAAAAACCUUGUAAAGUGCUUUGGACAAAAGUACUAGUGCUAUAUAAAUUUGGCUUAAAUGUUCCAAAUUAAAUGGGUGAUGUAAGAGACAAAAACCUGUUUGUUACAUGCAACAUCUGAGAGCUGAUUGGUUGUUUUAUCUCAGUUUGCUUUUGGUGAACCAAGACUGCAAGUAAGUAUUAAUACAUGCUAAGAGUGCCUGGCUAAUAGGAGCAAAAAAUAUUUAUUAUGUCAAUGUUUGAAUCACAAUUGAUAAAAAUCUUAACUACAUAAGUGAUUAGGUCCAAGAUAAAUACUGCUAAAAAAUUACUAAAAUUACUCAAAAGGACAUAAUUCACAGGAAUCAAUGACUGUGCCACGAUUAAGAUGAAGAGCAUCUAUAAAUAUUGAGGCAGUGCUCUUUUCUUUUUUUCUGUCCUAAAAGCAAUGUUUGUGACAAACAAAACUAGAUAGGACGGCCUUAAUAAGCCCCCAGACUAUCCUCCCUAAUCAGAUCAUUAAUCACCAUUAGUUUUGUUGGUAAUACUCUUUAAGAGUCAGAUCUUUAGAUGCUCACUAAAGAGAUACAGGCUAGAUUUACAGCAGUAUAUUUAGGUGUAAUUACAAUGAAACUAAUAUGGUUACUGUAAUAAUAAACAAAAGUAUUAUUUGAUAGUGAGCCUGGUCGAGAAGAGUCAGUAUAGGUGAACUUUAGUUCCCAUGAGCAACUGUAUGAACAACUAAGUGAAUUAAAGUUGUUUCUGUUGGUUCUAGAUAAUUUGUUUUGCAUAUAGUUUUAUUAAAAUUCACAGGACAAAUAAGGAGAGGCAAAAACUAAUACUGAAGCAGCUUUUCUUAGAAUGUAGAGAAUUCAACUAGCUUUUAUCAAGGCUGCCAUACACACACUUCCUGGUCAGUUCACUCAGUUAUGAACAUCAACUCAAAAAAAUCAAAAAAGAAAUCAAAACGCACCCAUGAACUGCAACUCAACAAACCUUUUAUUCUACUGUGUCUACUGUCUACCAUAUCUAUCUGCUGUAUCUUUACAAUGUACUGGUAUUGUAUGUGUCUUAUAUAGGCUGAUAUUCUAGCAAUGAGUCCAUUAAUUAAUCAUUAACGCAGCAAUACUGUGGAAGCCAUAGUGAUAAUGAAUAUGGAUAUUGGCAGCAUCGCUUCUGUCAAAUGGAGGCUUCAUUAUGGGCACGCUGGCACAGAGCAAGAAAUGUGUUUUUUGGCUUCUGCUGCAUCCCAUGUGUCACAGACUUGACAGCUCGCUUUCAUCCCCUCCUUUUACUGUAAUUUCCACUUGUGGUAGCCAAAAAGAAUAUGGGAUCAAACAAAAAAAAAUGUGUAUGUUAGUUUACGUUCAUCUGCUGAUUAGUUUGAGAGAAGAGCUACUAUUUAAAAUAUAAGUAGAGUUUGAUUAUGACGCAAAGCUCAAAGAACAUAUUUUUCUUAGCAUAUUUUUGCAUAAUAUAUUUCUAGAUUUUUUGCUGGGGUUGUGGCUCAGUGGUUCUCUCCCUCAGCCUACCUUCUUUGUCGACUGUGCUCAUGUCCACUGUGUUUAUUCAGGACAUGCUUGGAUAGAGUCCACCCCUUCUGACCCAAAAUAUGAAUAAGCAAGAAUGAAAACUAAAUAGAUAGUUAUAUUAUUAUGAGGGAAAAUUCCAUCAAUAGUAGUUAACUGUUAUCCCUGAAGAUUGUGUUUUGUUUAAGUGACACUAUUGGUGACAGGUGGUCAGUGCAGUGACCUAAAUCCCAUCACACUGGAAUGUGAAUCACUCCAACUUGUGAAAAUAUCAACUUUGUUUGGGCAGCGGGGUGUUUCAGUAUAACCUUUCUACCCUUGUUUGCAUGGAUUUUUUACCACCCCAAAAGAAAUGCAUGUUAGGUAUUUGUCAUGGCACAGGUAGUACUGGUAAAAUGAUUUGAUGUUAGGUCAAGGGUAUUUAAUAACCAUUAAGCCUUAUGGCCAUACCAUCUAUUUUCAGGUGACAACAUACACUGAAUGCCUUCAGCAAGAAGGAAUGUAGGCCUUACCUGAACCCCGGUGAGCUUGACUCAUUUUCCAUAGGCGCUCCACUCGUUCCCCGCAGUGUUGCACGCCCUUGCUUUCUUGGGUCGUCAACCAUGCACUGAACUCAAAAAUGGUUUCAGUUAACUUAGAUACGUCUACUUGUCUUUAACAAGUAGACGCAGAGAGAAAUUAAACCAAAAUACUUCUGGGAUGAGGGUUAUCAUUCAUUUUCUCAAAAAAAGAGUUACUGGCUAUUCUGCUGCAUUGACUAAGCCACUGCCCUCAAACUUGGAGUUGGUCUCUUGGUUCUGUGGCUGCCCAUUGCCCCUAAUCAUUAUCAAAUUUUCUCUCUCUCAGACCGCUUCUCUAUUUUUUGACCUUUAAAGGUCACUGAAUAGGUUUCUUAGGAUCUUUAGAAGCUGCAUUAUUUGAAGUUUCUGGUGGUUUUAUUCAGCCAUAUUAAGGUUGAUUGACACUUUUUCCAAACUACCAUCACGCAGGUUUCCACUUUGUCCUUACUGGCAGAAGAAGUCAUUACAGUGUUGUAUGGUUUAAUCAAAAUCACACAUUUGUCUGUAAAAACACAUUUCUAAAUUUUGUUCUGACAUCACGUUUAAUUUGAAAAUCAGAAAAUGGUGUGUUAAUUUUAAGGCAUGAAGACAUUCAGUAUAUAACACUACAGAGUAGAGUAUUAAAGGAUCAUUCUUCUUUGUCAUCUUACCUUUGAUGUUUAUUAUUUAUUCUAUUGAAACAUUAUUUAUUUUUAUGUAAUUCUUAAGUACAUGUUGUAAGAGUUCAGAAUUAACAGCAGAAAUAUUUUAAAUAUUCUUGAAUCCAAAUGCAAAUGUGUACUUCUUAACUAUGUUUUUAAACCUGUCAAUUAAAUUAAGGGCUUUAGUUAUGCAGAAUAUGAAGAGUUAAACACUUUCUCAAACAGUGUCCUCCUUUUGAAAAAUCGCCUUGUGUUCUCUCCCAGUCACAUUAAUUCUUCAAUUUAGUUCUCCACAUAAAUUAGGCUGGAGAAAAUCUAUUCUGCAGAUCCUGUCUACAGUAUUACUAGUAUUGAGUGUUCACUAAUUUAAACUGAACUCUGUUGUUUGAAAUUGUUGUUUGUUGCCUAACUAUUGGGCAAAUAAUCUUAUUUAAAGAUGGAAACUACAGCACCUUUAGAGAUCAGAUUCCAUCGGCUCAAUAUCUUAUCAUAUGGGUUUCUUUUUUUUUUUUUGCAGAACUGGGGUGGACUCAUUUAGGACAGAAGGUAAUCUGACUGUCCAAAGAUGCCAGUACCAAUUAGACAACAUAAGCAGAAAUAAAUACUAAAAUAAAUAAUCUCUUUGGUUAUGUAUUUCUCAAAUUAGUCACUGCAUUGCUUUUCUUUGUAUUUGCCUCUCUCUCCGACUCUUAAAAGAAAAGCAACAAGAGUGCAAACAUGGUUAAUAUUUGCCCGUAGAAAGAAAAUAUAUAAUUUAGCCCUGUCUCCAGCUUUUAUUGUUUUAUGACUGAAAGAUUGGUAAGUUUACUUUUUUUUGAAACCAUGUGUAUCUUCGCUAUUCGAAAGUUUUAAAAAGAGGAUUAAUGUAACUCUUCUUGCUUGUAGAAGAACAAGUAAGAGAUGACUUGUUUGUAGAUGGAUAUAUGGAGGUCAAGUUGCUGCUUCUAGCUAAUCACCCACUUGAGAUGCAACAACUACUGUGCAACAAUUCCACAACCAACAAAUCUAAUUAUAUGCUUCCACUCAACCCAGUAAUCAUUGCAAAUAUUUUGCUCACAUGACAAGUUGUUUUGGUAUUUGAAUGAUUAUCUUUCUAACAGAAAUAGAAAUAUUUUAACGACUAAAUAUUCAAUUUGAGCAACACCUUUACAAGAAAGUUGUGUUUAGUAGAGAGAGUGUUAGAUCAGGAGCAACAACUAAAGUUGUGUUUUCCAUCAUAUUUGUAAUUAAUCAGGAUGUGAUCAGUCCUGCAACUUUAACAUACUGACAUGAACAUUUCACAUAGAAUACAAUCUUCAAAGACAUGUGUACUGGCUCGAAAGAAGCACUAACAGAUAGAAGUCAAAGCCCACUGAUGUCAAGUAAACUGAUUGUGUAAGUUUUUUCUCAGUAUAGAAUAACAAAACCAUGUCAGCUUUCUAAAUGAUUGAUCACUUGAGCAUAUGGAAAAUAAAUCAUAUUAUAAUAUCAUGAUAUAAUAUGUUGAGAUUAAUGUAGUGAAACAAUGGCCAACCUAAAAAACAGAAAAAAGAAAAAUAAUGAACGACUUUGAGAGUGAAUGUGGAAGGAGACUUGAAUGGGUAUGAGAGGAAUGUGAAAGAUGGAGCUGCCUGCCACUGACCAAUGGCUGCAUGAUGAUGCAGUAACCCUAAUUAUCAGACAACUCAUUUAGCCUGACAGAAUGAUUCACAACCUCUGGAAAUAUAUGUGCUAUAUCCAUGGUGAAACUCAAUAACACACACAUACACACACACACACACACACACACACCAAGGACUACAUCAGAAACUGCUACUAUAUUGAACGAUAUGUAUGCUUGUGUGUAUCAAAAGAAGAGAACUAGCAAAUUUUAUUUUACUUUCUUUCUUUCAUCUUUCCAUCAGUGGAGAUCCAUAACUUUGAUUUUUUUUGUUUUGUUUGUUUUUUUAAACUGCGCAACUAAUUAAAUCUUUUUAAUUCUUCUAUAAUUGUUCAAAUUGCAACAUACCCUCUUUAGGGCAAGCAAUCAUUCUAUUUUGUUUAAAAAAUGAUCCAGAUUUGAUGGGACCCUUUGUUGCAUGUCAUUCCUUCAUUAAUUUCCUGUCAUCUCUCUACUGUUGCCUAUCUAAUAAAACCAUAAAAUACCCAAAUAGAUAAUUGAUCAAAAUUGUCUGACUACAAGGGUGCCUGCAAACAUUUUCCUUCAUAUCUAACACAAUGGUUUUCCAUUUUGCAUGUGAAAUUGCAGUUAAUUGUGAAACAAAAGACAUAUAAUAGAUAGCUUGUGGGAAAUGUCAUUAACUUAGCUUGAAAUUUUAAAUUUUGGCAAGUAAUUAGUAAUUUUAUAAUAGAAAUAGUUGGUCAAUUUGGUAUGCAUGUGCAUUGUCUUUGAAAACAUUGAAAAGUCAUGUGCAUUGAUAUGACUUUGAAAAGCUUUCACUUACUUGAAAAUAACACAUCGCCGUUUUUACGGAAAAUUAGUACUUGUGCGUCAUAAGAGAAAAUAAAAUACACUGGGAUAUUACAUCCUCUCUGUAACUGCAUGUCUUGCAGAAUUCAGAUAAGAGGCUGUACCUUUUUUGUUUUUUAUUAAAACACGUGAUGUAUUUUUGAAUCUGCAUCUGAUGUGUUUGAUUUGUUAUGUGCCAGUAUAAUUAUCAUGCUGUUUCUAGUGACCUCUUAGAGGUAUGCUGCGUCCCCCAUGUGGGAGUAUCAGACAGUGCUGCCCAGCUCUGCUCUGAAUGGUCCAGCUUGAGUAGAUGCUUGACUCUCAAUCAGGCUGAUCACAAUCACCUGUGUGAUGAAUGUGUUUGUGCCUAUAUAUUGUCUGCUCUGGGUUGUGAUGGUGAUUUGACAAUCUCUGACAAGGAUCUCUGUUUGAUUGAAAUGUUGCUCAAUAAACAUUUGCAGCUGUUAGUACAGUGUGUGGAUCUUUUGUUUGAUUCUUGCCUUUAGUUUGCUUUUUGAUCCAGCACCUGUAUAAGUCUUCUUCUUUUUUUUUUUUUUUGAUGUGUGUACCCUUUUUGUCUUAAACACAAACGUGAAAAUGAAUGUUGUAAGUGUGAUUCAUACCAGUGUUAUUCAGCCCAUGGCAACUCAGUUAUACUAAUUUCAAAAACACUGUUGUAGUACUGGCUGUGAUAAAUAGCAAAUGCCUAAUGCUGUAUUUUCCUUUGUUUCUCUAUCAAAGGGUUUAGGACUUCACAAGAUUAAACUUCUGCUCUGUUGUUAUUUUACAUUUAUGUAUGGACAGAUGAUCAAAAGCAGCCUUCAGAGCUUUCUGCUGUAACUGCCUGAAUUUAACUACAUUGUAAUACACCACACACACUUUUAAAAUACCUGGGCCAGAUUUUGUGUUGUAGCUGCAUAACCAAAUAGUCUUUACUAAGUCUAUUUUUAUUUAUUUUGUUAAACAUUUAUUUUUCAGUGUAACAUGCCAAACAAUAGUUUAUUUCAACAGUUUUUAUGGCUUGGUUAAGUUGUAACAGGUCAACUCAGGUCGGGCAGCUAUUUUGGUAGAUUCCAGAUGUCCAUACACCCUCAGUGCACCAUUCCACUGGCAAAAACUUUCUUUCUUGUAUCACUGUUUAAUUAAUGUAUGCAAUGAAAAAAAAGUAUAUUUUCAUGGUAAAAUGCAAGCAUCUACAAAGAUCAACAUCUAAAAAAAUAUAAUAAACUCUGACAAUAAAUCAGCUUGAACUGA